CACGCCGUAAACGAUGAAUACUAGGUGUAGGGGGUAUCGACUCCCUCUGUGCCGCAGCUAACGCAAUAAGUAUUCCACCUGGGGAGUACGGCCGCAAGGUUGAAACUCAAAGGAAUUGACGGGGGCCCGCACAAGCAGUGGAUUAUGUGGUUUAAUUCGAAGCAACGCGAAGAACCUUACCAGGGCUUGACAUCCUCUGAACUCUCUAGAGAUAGAGCUUCCCUUCGGGGCAGAGAGACAGGUGG
This 245-nucleotide ribosomal RNA is filed under the name uncultured Saccharofermentans sp. Its description in RNAcentral is "partial 16S ribosomal RNA". It matches the Rfam family "Bacterial small subunit ribosomal RNA", at positions 796 to 1041 of the family's 1533-position model. The record is from RNAcentral. Lineage: Bacteria; Bacillati; Bacillota; Clostridia; Eubacteriales; Oscillospiraceae.